Pezoporus occidentalis (night parrot) is the source of this 320-nucleotide long non-coding RNA. RefSeq lists it as uncharacterized. The transcript has 3 exons. The record is from RefSeq and is a predicted model, not a curated record. Lineage: Eukaryota; Metazoa; Chordata; Aves; Psittaciformes; Psittacidae.
UGUUCAAAUGAGCAGCCAAGAUUACAGAAACAGACAUAAAGUAGGUAUUUAAACACACACAGAGUCCUCCGGUUGUGCCUCAGCAUGGGCAAGUGAAUGCUCUUCCUUAUAAAGUCUUCAAUCCAUAAGCACUCUGCAGCAUGUCUGGACUAGAUUUGAAAUAUUGCUUCCAGGUACCAUCCCAAUAUCUGCUGAUGUUAGAGAGCUUCACUCAUUCUGAUGGAUAUGCAUAAAUGGAACCAGGAGUGAAUGGUCCAUUUAUUCCAGCCACAAGAGACGAUCCAGAGUAAAAUUUGAGGCUUAAAUUAGUGGCAAGUGAA